AAGGAUUUAAGUUAUUUAAACUUUCAACCUUCAAAGUUGACAAUAGAAUUUUUUUUUCUAAGCCUUA
Molecule: transfer RNA, 67 nt
Filed under: Agapanthia amurensis
Lineage: Eukaryota; Metazoa; Arthropoda; Insecta; Coleoptera; Cerambycidae
Description: tRNA-Trp
Source: RNAcentral